This is a long non-coding RNA of Tripterygium wilfordii, 441 nucleotides long. RefSeq lists it as uncharacterized. The transcript has 3 exons. The record is from RefSeq and is a predicted model, not a curated record. NCBI's taxonomy places the organism in Eukaryota, Viridiplantae, Streptophyta, Magnoliopsida, Celastrales, Celastraceae.
GCGAAAAGCGGGAGCAGAAAAGUACUUUGUUCUUGACUUCUUUCCCUCUUCUUCGUUAUUUCUUCUGUCUUCGUGACUCCGUAUAACCUCGCGAUUCGUACUUCCACUCAAACUCUCUCAGUGGUUAAGAAAUCAAUCAGCGAGGAGAUUGCUCGUACACCAGGCCUUCCAGGCUGCCUCGACUAUAGAAAGCCUAAAUCAUAUUUGGCAAAGUGGAGGACCUUGGGGCGGUGAACAAUUAGUGAGGUCAAGAUGAAGAUACUGGUAUUGCUUGCUUGAAGAAAUGGAGUGAGUCCUUUUUAUAUGCCACAAAGAACUUCACCAGGCCACAAAAUGUGCUCUCACAUGUAUGAGAGAUGAUACCGAUGGAUUUAAAACAGUAAUCCGAUGGCCCAACAUUAGGACUACUCUCGCACACACAAAGGACACAUUUGGGGUAAC